This 497-nucleotide ribosomal RNA is filed under the name uncultured bacterium. RNAcentral's name for it is "partial 16S ribosomal RNA". It matches the Rfam family "Bacterial small subunit ribosomal RNA", at positions 28 to 507 of the family's 1533-position model. The record is from RNAcentral.
GACGAACGCUGGCGGCGUGCCUAAUACAUGCAAGUUGAGCGAUGAAGAUUGGUGCUUGCACCAAUUUGAAGAGCAGCGAACGGGUGAGUAACGCGUGGGGAAUCUGCCUUUGAGCGGGGGACAACAUUUGGAAACGAAUGCUAAUACCGCAUAACAACUUUAAACAUAAGUUUUAAGUUUGAAAGAUGCAAUUGCAUCACUCAAAGAUGAUCCCGCGUUGUAUUAGCUAGUUGGUGAGGUAAGGGCUCACCAAGGCGAUGAUACAUAGCCGACCUGAGAGGGUGAUCGGCCACAUUGGGACUGAGACACGGCCCAAACUCCUACGGGAGGCAGCAGUAGGGAAUCUUCGGCAAUGGACGAAAGUCUUACCGAGCAACGCCGCGUGAGUGAAGAAGGGUGUCGGAUCGUAAAACUCUGUUGGUAGAGAAGAACGUUGGUGAGAGUGGAAAGCUCAUCAAGUGACGGUAACUACCCAGAAAGGGACGGCUAACUACGUG